This 129-nucleotide small nucleolar RNA is filed under the name Strigops habroptila (Kakapo). The record is from RNAcentral. Lineage: Eukaryota; Metazoa; Chordata; Aves; Psittaciformes; Psittacidae.
AAACACUGCCUUUGAACCUCAUGUCUUGUUUGUAGCUUCACUGGCCAAGCAACAUUGCUAGAGUAUAAGGACUUGUUAUAACUGGGGCUCUUCAGCUCUCAACUGCUCUAUUAAAAACAAGGUACAUUU